UUCUUUUCAUCUCUUUGGCUGAAAAAAAAAGGGAAAAAGAAAAAACUCAGAGGCAGGGGGGUUGAGAGAGUGAGCGAGAGAGAGAGAGACUCGGAUAGUAAGGGGGAGCGCCAAAGGCUCCAUCUCCGUAAUAUCUAGUGAGACUAGUGAUUCGACUCCAUCCUUCGUCCAAGCUCUCCUUCUCAGGCAUGGUUUUUACAGCUAAAGGGACGGAGGUGUUUGAGGAGCAAUAAGUUAUGAUUUUGGGCUCGGUUUUGAGAUAGGUGUCUCGAAACUAAUCAUUGUUAGUUUGUAUUCGUCAAUUCCAAGCUCGAACGAGUUCUUUUUGUUUGUUUCGUAUGAAAGGUUUACUUAAACAUUCCUCGAGGACCUUAUGUAAUAUAAAUAUGUUCAUUGUGAGUUCCCCAUGAAAUUUAACCCUUAAGCAUUAGAUUCAAUCUUUAUUUAGAUGCAUGUCUGGUGAGAUAUGAAAGCCCUUAUUAGAAUAUAAUUUUUAUCUAUCGUUGACAUUUAGCUGUUCUUGAUUGAAUCUUAAGUGGUGGAUAGUUCUUGUUCUUGACUUUAUUCUGCUGGGUUUAAUUGGUUUUGUGUAUUUAAUUUACAUGGCUGAGUUUCUUAUCAUUGGGUUGUACACUUUAGUAGAUUUCAUUUCUUGUGGGUUAGUCAAUGUGAUCUGAAUGACUGUGAUGAUUGGAUCUUUAUGGAAUUGAUUGGGAUUGCAAUUGGGUUCUUGUGUGCUGUAAAUUAUUCCUUGUGGUUGACUUUACUUAAUCUUGUUUUUUGGAUUUCACAUAUAAGGGUGCGUGGUGUGUGCUAAGUUUUAUCAUUGAUGGCUGUUGUGGUGCCAGAUGUAUAUUAUAGGAAUGGAUUAAUUGAUAUUGGUCAAUUAUCAUGUUAAGGUUAUUAUUCUAUAAGUUAAAUUACGCAUACGAGUUAUAUGUUAGUGUGUGAUUUUGUCUGUUGGACUUGGCGGGAUAUGAGAUGGAUUGACAAGCCGUUGGUCCAGCGGAAUAUAAAACGGACAUUAGGCCGCUGAUCCAACGGAAUAUAAAACGGACAUAAGUCUAAAGGUCGAGAUCGGGAUUGAUUAUGGGUGAUUCGGAGGUUGUGGGGGAGACAUAUGGAGAUAGACUAUAGAUUCAUGACGAGUCAUGGUACCGUUAUGAAUGGAAUUUCAUGUUUAUCUUUAAUGAAUGCAAAUUCGAGUGUUGCAAUAUUUAUUCGUGAUCGUGUUUGGAGUGUGAAAGCGACAUCUAUGAUUGUAGAAUUAUUAGCUUGAUAUGGUUGAUUUGGAAAUAUGAAUGUGGGUGAUGUGUUUACCGAAGUGGGCUUAAUGUAAAGCAUAUGUUUAUUCUAAUUAUAUAUUUAGUCUAGAAUUUAUUUGUGUGUGGUAAUUAAGUUAGACAGCUCUUGUCAGUUUGUCUCUGGUGGUGUACCUUGAGUCAUUUGAUAAUUCUUCUUGUUAUGCCUGAUUUGAUUUUUACUGAGGAGUUCUGACUAACUUGGUUAUUUUGGUUAAACUUGCUGAGCUAUGUAAGCUCACUCUAUUUCCACAUCUUUCACGGGGAAUCAUUGUCAAACGAGAGCUUUUUACAUGAUUUCUUGAAUCGGAAGGCGCGUGUCUUACUUGACUGUAAACUUACUUAAUCGGGGCUCAAAUGAUUCUGGGAUAUUCAAUUGACAUGUAUUUGAAAUUUACUGAGAUGAUAAAUCGGACCCUGAGAGGAUUACGAUUUGUAUAGUUA
Non-coding RNA from Punica granatum (pomegranate), 1745 nucleotides. The record is from RefSeq and is a predicted model, not a curated record. Lineage: Eukaryota; Viridiplantae; Streptophyta; Magnoliopsida; Myrtales; Lythraceae.